RNA transcript from Oncorhynchus kisutch (coho salmon), 3363 nucleotides. RefSeq lists it as uncharacterized. The transcript is spliced from 10 exons. Lineage: Eukaryota; Metazoa; Chordata; Actinopteri; Salmoniformes; Salmonidae. The record is from RefSeq and is a predicted model, not a curated record.
CCAGUUAACUGUGACCAUGUGCAUUUUCAGUGGUUGAAGAGACCAUUCGGAGUUGCUGCAUUGUGUCUUGGAUUGCUGUGUAUUCUCCUACUGGCUGGGAUCAUAGGCAUGUGUGUCAACUACACUGGUCAGCAUUCCCGUGAUGAAAGAGACCUGCUACAAACCAGUAAUAACAACCUGACUAAAGAGAGAGACCAGCUACAGACCAGUUAUAACAACCUGACUAAAGAGAGAGACCAGCUACAGACCAGUUAUAAUAACCUGAUUAAAGAGAGAGACCAGCAUCAGAGGGAAAUAGAAAAGCUGAAAAUCAAAGGAAAUGUGGCGUUGAAUGGAGUGGCCACUCAGUCAUCACUGUAUAAUAAUCGCUACGCUUCCGAUGCCAUCGAUGGGAAAAGAAACACACACUAUGGAUCCUGCACCCACACUCAGAAAGACAGAAACCCGUGGUGGAGAGUGGACCUGCUGAAUGUGUACAGAAUAACAGAUGUCACCCUCACCAACAGAGGAGACUGCUGUCCUGAGAGGCUUGAUGGUGCUGAGAUCCGCAUCGGUAACUCAUCGGAGAACAACGGCAUCAACAACCCCAGAUGUGCCGUCAUCUCCCACAUCCCAGCAGGAGAGACCCACACCUUCCAGUGCAAUGAGAUGGAGGGUCGCUACGUUGUUGUGGUCAUCCCUGGCAGGUCGGAAUGGCUCACUCUGUGUGAGUUGGAAGUUCAUGGUACUCCUGCAGGAAAUGUGGCGUUGAAUGGAGUGGCCACUCAGUCAUCACUGUAUAAUAAUCGCGACGCUUCCGAUGCCAUCGAUGGGAAAAGAAACACACACUAUGGAUCCUGCACCCACACUCAGAAAGACAGAAACCCGUGGUGGAGAGUGGACCUGCUGAAUGUGUACAGAAUAACAGAUGUCACCCUCACCAACAGAGGAGACUGCUGUCCUGAGAGGCUUGAUGGUGCUGAGAUCCGCAUCGGUAACUCAUCGGAGAACAACGGCAUCAACAACCCCAGAUGUGCCGUCAUCUCCCACAUCCCAGCAGGAGAGACCCACACCUUCCAGUGCAAUGAGAUGGAGGGUCGCUACGUUGUUGUGGUCAUCCCUGGCAGGUCGGAAUGGCUCACUCUGUGUGAGUUGGAAGUUCAUGGUACUCCUGCAGUUUCCAAUGUGUAUCAAAAAUGGUCCACCACCCAAAGGAAAUCAAGCCAACUUGACACAACUAUGGGAAACAUUGACAUCAACAUGGAUCAGCAUUCCUGUGGAUCGCUUUCGGGAACCUUGUAGAGUCCAUUGCCAGAGGAAUUUAAGUUGUCCUGAGGGCAGAAGGGAGUGGGGGGGAAGCAUUCUAAAUCCUCAGUGAUGUAAUCACUGAUUCACUUUUUCACUGUUCCAUUAGUCACUGGUGAGCAUUCCGGUGCAGAGAGGGACAGCUUACAGACCAGUUAUAACAACCUGACUAAAAAGAGAGACCAGCUACAGACCAGUUAUAACAACCUGACUAAAGAGCGAGACCAGCUACAGACCAGUAAUAACAACCUGACUAAAGAGAGAGACCAGCUACAGACUAGUAAAAUCAACCUGACUAAAGAAAGAGACCAGCUACAGACCAGUAAUAUCAACCUGACUAAAGAAAGAGACCAGCUACAAACCAGUAAUAACAACCUGACUACAGAGAGAGACCAGCUACAGACCAGUAAUAGCAAUCUGGCUAAUGAGAGAGACCAGCUACAAAGUAAGAUAGAAAAUCUAAACAACAAGAUUAACAGUAAAAUGUCAGUACAUUGGAAAGGACUGUCUGUAUCACAUAAUAUGCGGCUAACAAUUUAUCCAGGCAGUAUCGCAACUGGCCGUGAUUGGGAGUCCCAUACGGCGACGCACAGUUGGCCCAGCGUCGUCCGGGUUUGGCCGCUGUAGGCUGUCAUUGUAAAUAAGAAUAUGUUCUUAACUGACUUACCUAGCAAAAUAAAGGUUAAAACAAAUAUAUAUAUAUAUAUUUAUUUGAGAAAAUAUUUUGUUCCCGUUUUUAUUUCCUUAUAUGUUGCAUUUUUUCUAUUGAAAGUAAAAAUUAAUGUAAAAAUAAGAAAAUAAAAAUGUCAUCUUGAUAUUUCUAGGGAGAUCCUGUCCUGAAGGAUGGAAGACAUCUGGCUCCAGCUGUUACUACACCACCACCGUGAUUAAAACCUGGGAGGAGAGCAGAAAGGACUGCAACGAGAGAGGAGCACACCUGGUGAUCAUAAAUAGCAGAGAGGAACAGACAUUUAUCAAUGGGUUAUACGGACCGGGGAAUGAGACCUGGAUCGGUCUGACGAACGUUGACACUGAGGGGACCUGGAAAUGGGUGGACGGCACACCACUGACCACAGCGUAUUGGAAGACUGGAAAGCCUAGCAGCUCUUUAGGGGCCGACCAGGACUGUGUGGCGUUUUUCCACCAUUCAUCAGACCCAGGGGAGUGGAACGACGAGGAAUGCCACAAGUCAAAUAACUGGAUCUGUGAGAUAUUUUAAUUCUCUGCACUGCGAACUACAUGUAACUGCCAAAAAAAGGAAAAAUUUCAGUAAAUGAGGGUGGAUCUGCUGGAUCUGCUGGUGUGGGGUGCAUUUUCCUGGCAUGGUUUAGGUCCACUCAACCACUGAGAGAGAACGGUAAACACCAAUAAAUACACAGCCAUUCUGAGUGACCACCUUCAACCUAUGGUGAAUCAGAUCUAUCCUGAUGGGAGUGGUCUCUUCCAGGAUGACACCGCCCCCCCCCCCCCCCCCCCUCUCCCCCCAUCCAUUAGGGAACGAGUGGUCACCGAAUGGUUUGAUGAGCUAAAUAAGGAAAAUGAUGUAAACCAUAUGCCACGGCCGUCUCAGUCACCAGAUCCCAACCCAAUUGAAUUAUGGGAGAUUCUAGAGCGGCAACUGAGACAACAUUUUCCACAUUUCUCCUGAAAGAAUGGUGUUUGCAUCCCUCCAAUAGAGUUCCAGACAAAUCUAUACCGAGGCUCAUUGAAGCUGGCGGCUGGUGGUGGCCUAACGUCCUAUUAACACAAUUGAUGUUUUCUUUAUUUUGGAAGUUAACAGUAUGUUGAUAAUAGUCUGAAUAUUGCUGAUAUAUUCUGGUAGAACGCUACUCUGAAUUACAUUUCUGAAUGAAAGGCACACACGCACGCACACACAAAUCAUGUUCAGAUUUCAUAAAAUGAGGUGUAUAAUAUCAUUGAAUAUAUGCUGUAAAUCAAUUUACAUUUUUACAUGAUUUGUAUAUCUUAUACAGUUUGUCUGCUACUUGUGUUUUCAUCAUGCUGAACAUAAACAAUGUGUACUUCCUGCUUAUUCAGUAUAUAAUUGAACCUAGAUUAAAGACAUUUCCUUGUUGAGUA